This is an RNA transcript of Nerophis ophidion (straightnose pipefish), 3914 nucleotides long. It is a transcript of the gene named coiled-coil domain containing 61, with no coding region annotated. The record is from RefSeq and is a predicted model, not a curated record. The transcript has 14 exons. NCBI's taxonomy places the organism in Eukaryota, Metazoa, Chordata, Actinopteri, Syngnathiformes, Syngnathidae.
CCGAACGCCUCCCUAGGGAGGUGUUUAGAGCACGUCCAACCGGCAGGAGGCCACGGGGAAGACCCAGGACACGUUGUGAAGACUAUGUCUCCCGGCUGGCCUGGGAACGCUUCGGGAUCCCACGGGAAGAGCUGGACAAAAUGGCUGGGGAGAGGGAAGUCUAGGCUUUCCUACUUAGGCUGCUGCUCCCGCAACCCGACCUCGGCUAAGCGGAAGAAGAUGGAUGGAUGGAUAACAAUAAUAUAAUAAUUAGUAGUAGCAUUAUCAUGAUUAUUUUAAUUUGUAUUCAUUUACCUGCCAUGUAUGGUCAGCGAGUAUUAAUACAAAAGUUAUAUUUCAGCUGUAGUUCCAUCUUGCUUGCACAGACGGAGAAUGAUCUACAGAGGGCAACACCGAGCGGUCAAUUGUCAAAAUGAAGGAGAAGAAGAAGCUGCAUGCGGGAAUUAAACCGACGAAGAAGAAUUCAACGGUUCCCGGUAGUCGAGCCUCGUCAGGUCUUCUCUUAGCUUCCUUCUGCUUUCUUUUGGGCUGAGAGUGAAUCACUGGCCCAGAGAGUUUAUCUUCAAUUCAAUGACUUAACCCAGCUAACACGCCGACAUGUUUCACCAACAUUAGUUGCUUGUUGGCGGCAAGCUCCGUCAAGAUUUACCGCUGUAAGCUAAGACUCAGAGGAAUGGAGGAGGGCUCGGAGGUGAUGGAAGAUAUUGUUUUCCGAGGAGUGGAGUUUGUGGUGAAGGUGGAGGUGGAUAAAGGCUUGCUGCUGGUGGAAAUCUCAGAUUCAACAACGGCCGAUCAGUGGAAGGGAGAAUUCGAUCCGGCAUACAUAGAGGAUCUCACGCGGAAAACCGGCAACUACAAACAGUUCCCCAUUUUUUGUAGCAUGUUGGAGUCGGCCGUCAGAAAGACAACCGAUUCUGUUACCCUGGACCUCUUGACCUACGCUGACCUGGAGUUGCUAAGAAACAGAAAAGCAGGUGUGCUCGGUCGCCCUCGAGGCCAUCCGCAGUCAUCUACUCUCACCGCCAAACGCUAUCUCAUUCUCAUCUACACUGUCGAGUUUGACAGGAUACACUACCCUUUGCCACUACCCUACGUUGGCAAGCCGGACCCAGCCGCCCUGCAGAAGGAAAUUAGGACCUUAAGGGCGGAGCUUAGCACUCUGACCUCUCAAGGCGUAAACAAAUGUGCAGAGCUGGAAAUCCACCGCUUACGAGCAGAGCUGGCUCUAAUGAAGGAGGAGAAACAGUCCAUGGCCAAAGUCCUGGAGCGUUUACAGCUGUGCGGAAGUGCUUCCGCAACCGACGCUAGGCAGGACUGGAGGACCAGAGAUGCGGUGAGGACGCUGGGGGAGCAGCUGCUCAAAGAGAGAGCCAAAAGUCAGCGGUCGGCUAGCAAGAGAUGCCAUGAGCAGCGCCACCUUAUUGAGCAGCUAGAGGAGCUAAAGGCAUCUGAGUGCAGCCUGCGACUUCACGUCAAAAGUCUCACCAAUGAACUGGCUCUUCUGCGGAGAAGCAGAGGGACGCAGCUUUCUGGCGGCGGGAACAUUUAUCGCUCACUCAACCAAGUCAGGGGUCGCUCCGGAUCCAGCGAGCACAGAGGGGACAGAGUGCAGAGGUCGACUGAAAGAGGGAGAAGGGCCGAUUCCACGGGGCCACGUGCUGUCAUAAGAAGGCCGUCACCUUCUCCUCCUGGGUCCCGAGGGCCUCGCUUUGACCCAACCGCUUACAUCCAAGACAGACAGCGUCGACUGAGAGAAACAGAAAUCAAAAAACAGAUGAAGGUGCGGCGAGACCUGACCGUGUCGCCGCUGAUGUCCGAGCGAGGGCGAUCCCGCUCCAGAGAAGGUUGCCCACUGAUGCGGCGCCCCGGCAGCCGCGGCAGGAGUUUGUCUAUGGAGCGGCGAGCGAGCAGGAACUCCUCGGAUGGCUCAUUGGUGGAUGUGGAGGAAAUGACCAAGCCUCUGUUCAGGGGGAAGAAACAGACGUUUAAUGGACAAAGUGUGUCAAGAGGCGGCAUGAUGACCAAAAAGCCCAAAAGCAGCACUCCAACGUACAGAAUGAAGGACAAAGAUGUUAUGCUCCGCCACUCAGAGAGCUCCAUUGACAUGGGCGCUGAGAAUUCAGAUAUUGACGCGAGGCUUGAAGCCCUGGAGGAGUUCAUGGGGGACUUGGACACAGGACACUGACAGAUGGUGCAACCUGCGGUCGAAAGCAAAUGUGCAGCAUGGACUCGGCAAGACGUAAACAGCUUUUAUUUGUUUUUCUUCUGCAUGGACCACAAAGCUCCAACUUCAGGAAACAGCCAUCACUAGGACACCACAUCCACAGUUUCCAAAUAUAAUUUGAAAUGUGGACCCGUCAGACCACAGAACACUUAUCCGCUUUGCAUCAGUCCAUCUUAGAUGAGCUUGGGCCCAGCGAAACCAGCGGCGUUCCUCUGUGUUGUUGAUAAAUAGGUUUGGCUUUGUAUAGUAGAGUUUUAACUUGCACUUACAGAUUUAGCGACCAACUGUAGUUACUGACAGUGGUUUUAUGAAGUGUUCCUGAGCCCGUGUGGUGAUAUCCUUUACACACUUGUCGGUUUUGGAUGCAGUACCCGCCUGAGGGAUCAAAGGUCCGUAAUAUCCUCGUUUACGUGCAGUGAUUUCUCCAGAUUCUCUGACCCUUUUGAUGAUUUUAUGGACCGUAGAUGGUAAAAUCUCUAAAUUCCUUGCAACAACUGGUUGAGAAAUGUUGUUCUAAAACUGUUCGACAAUUUGCCUACAAAUUGGUGACCCUCGCUCCAUCCUUGUUUGUGAAUUACUUAACAUUUCAUGGAAGCUGCUUUUAUACCCAAUCAUGGCACCCACUUGUUCCCAAUUAGCCUGCACACCUGUGGGAUGUUCCAAAUAAGUGUUUGAUGAGCAUUCCUGAACUUUAUCAGUAUUUAUUGCCACCUUUCCCACCUUCUUUGUCACGAGUUGCUGACAUCAAAUUCUAAAGUUAAUGAUUAUUUGCAAAAAUAAAGAUCAGUUUAAACAUCAAAUAUGUUGUUUUUGUAGCAUAUUCAACUGAAUAUGGGUUAAAUGAUUUGCAAAUCAUUGUAUUCGGUUUAUAUUUACAUCUAACACAAAUUCCCAACUCAUAUGCAAACGGGGUUUGUACAAAUAUACAUACAUACAUAUAUAUAUAUACAUAUAUAUAUAUAUACAUACAUACAUACAUAUAUAUAUACAUACAUACAUAUAUAUUUAUAUGUGUGUAUAUAUAUAUAUAUAUAUAUAUAUAUAUAUAUACUGACUGACAGCAUCAGCACCAUGGAAUGUUGCUCUUCAUUGUACAAAUUUUACCUUUUAUCAGUGUUAAACUGCAAUAAAUAUUUGUAUUUACAUUUUCUCUGUGCCACUCUUUUUGGAAAUAUCUUUACAUAUGGUACACAUUGGGGUUGUUUUGCAUUUUUGACACUUUAAUUGCAAUACAUAGUUUUAUUAUUUUCAGGAUAUUUAAAGGAAAAACCUUUCUGCAGCUGCUCCAGUAACAUUACAAAAAAAUAUUACAAAAGAUUAAAAAAAUAAAGAAAAUUGCAAGAUGUAAAAAUCCAGUGGUAUGGCACUGAGAAAGAAUCACUUAAUGUUUAUCAAAGAACAUGCCUUUAAUAUUUACUUUUUGUAGAGAAAUGGUAAAAUCUUCAGAGUACUUACAAAAUAUUAAUAGCAUGAAGGAAGGAUUAAGAAAUACGAACAAAGUGUUCAAAACCACACCAGUUGGCGUUAAAGUGCUGACUGCGUAGACGCUGGAGUGUGCAACCGUCUUUCAUGAUCAAACAAAUGUGCUUCACUGCUUCGAUGAUGUCGUGGGCAGGAUGUUAACGGGCGCCCCCUGCUGCGUCUUUUCAUUCCUCCUGUGUUUUAGGAUGGCCUGGAUGUACUGAGUCAG